GACCAUGUAGCUCAGUUGGCAGAGCAUUGGGCUAGUAUUCCAAAAGUCGUAGGUUCGAAUCUUACUGUGGCCA
This is a non-coding RNA of Paramuricea clavata, 73 nucleotides long. The record is from the annotation of a GenBank genome assembly. Lineage: Eukaryota; Metazoa; Cnidaria; Anthozoa; Malacalcyonacea; Plexauridae.